This 253-nucleotide ribosomal RNA is filed under the name uncultured bacterium. RNAcentral's name for it is "partial 16S ribosomal RNA". It matches the Rfam family "Bacterial small subunit ribosomal RNA", at positions 524 to 776 of the family's 1533-position model. The record is from RNAcentral.
UACGGAGGGUGCAAGCGUUAUCCGGAUUCACUGGGUUUAAAGGGUGCGUAGGUGGGUUUGUAAGUCAGUGGUGAAAUCUCCGUGCUUAACAUGGAAACUGCCAUUGAUACUAUAGAUCUUGAAUUUUCCGGAGGUCAGCGGAAUAUGUCAUGUAGCGGUGAAAUGCUUAGAUAUGACAUAGAACACCGAUUGCGAAGGCAGCUGACUACAGGAACAUUGACACUGAGGCACGAAAGCGUGGGGAUCAAACAGG